Molecule: unclassified non-coding RNA, 240 nt
Filed under: soil metagenome
Description: partial contains 5.8S ribosomal RNA, internal transcribed spacer 2, and large subunit ribosomal RNA
Source: RNAcentral
AACAUCGCGCACCUGCGGGAACCUGCGGAGGGAUCAUUACAGAGUUGCAAAACUCCCUAAACCAUUGUGAACGUUACCUAAACCGUUGCUUCGGCGGGCGGCCCGGGUCCUUCCCGGCGCCCAUCGGCCCUCGCGGGCGCCCGCCGGAGGUAAACCAAACUAUUGCAUUGUAUGGCCUCUCUGAGUCUUCUGUACUGAAUAAGCCAAAACUUUUAACAAUGGAUCUCAGAUCGGAAGAGC